GAUGAACGCUGGCGGCGUGCCUAAUACAUGCAAGUCGAGCGAACAGAUAAGGAGCUUGCUCCUUUGACGUUAGCGGCGGACGGGUGAGUAACACGUGGAUAACCUACCUAUAAGACUGGGAUAACUUCGGGAAACCGGAGCUAAUACCGGAUAACAUAUUGAACCGCAUGGUUCAAUAGUGAAAGGCGGCUUUGCUGUCACUUAUAGAUGGAUCCGCGCCGUAUUAGCUAGUUGGUAAGGUAACGGCUUACCAAGGCAACGAUACGUAGCCGACCUGAGAGGGUGAUCGGCCACACUGGAACUGAGACACGGUCCAGACUCCUACGGGAGGCAGCAGUAGGGAAUCUUCCGCAAUGGGCGAAAGCCUGACGGAGCAACGCCGCGUGAGUGAUGAAGGUCUUCGGUUCGUAAAACUCUGUUAUCAGGGAAGAACAAAUGUGUAAGUAACUGUGCACAUCUUGACGGUACCUGAUCAGAAAGCCACGGCUAACUACGUG
This 497-nucleotide ribosomal RNA is filed under the name uncultured bacterium. RNAcentral's name for it is "partial 16S ribosomal RNA". It matches the Rfam family "Bacterial small subunit ribosomal RNA", at positions 28 to 507 of the family's 1533-position model. The record is from RNAcentral.